GACGAACGCUGGCGGCGUGCUUAACACAUGCAAGUCGAACGGAAAGGCCCUGCUUUUGGGGGGUGCUCGAGUGGCGAACGGGUGAGUAACACGUGAGCAACCUGCCCUUGACUUUGGGAUAACUUCAGGAAACUGGGGCUAAUACCGGAUAGGAGCUCCUGCUGCAUGGUGGGGGUUGGAAAGUUUCGGCGGUUGGGGAUGGACUCGCGGCUUAUCAGCUUGUUGGUGGGGUAGUGGCUUACCAAGGCUUUGACGGGUAGCCGGCCUGAGAGGGUGACCGGCCACAUUGGGACUGAGAUACGGCCCAGACUCCUACGGGAGGCAGCAGUGGGGAAUAUUGCACAAUGGGCGGAAGCCUGAUGCAGCAACGCCGCGUGCGGGAUGACGGCCUUCGGGUUGUAAACCGCUUUCGCCUGUGACGAAGCGUGAGUGACGGUAAUGGGUAAAGAAGCACCGGCUAACUACGUG
Molecule: ribosomal RNA, 468 nt
Filed under: uncultured bacterium
Lineage: Bacteria
Description: partial 16S ribosomal RNA
Rfam family: Bacterial small subunit ribosomal RNA
Source: RNAcentral